This 253-nucleotide ribosomal RNA is filed under the name uncultured bacterium. Its description in RNAcentral is "partial 16S ribosomal RNA". It matches the Rfam family "Bacterial small subunit ribosomal RNA", at positions 524 to 776 of the family's 1533-position model. The record is from RNAcentral.
UACGGGGGGGGCAAGCGUUGUUCGGAAUUACUGGGCGUAAAGGGCUCGUAGGCGGCCAACUAAGUCAGACGUGAAAUCCCCAGGCUUAACCUGGGAACUGCGUCCGAUACUGGAUGGCUUGAAUUCGGGAGAGGGAUGCAGAAUUCCAGGUGUAGCGGUGAAAUGCGUAGAUAUCUGGAGGAAUACCGGUGGCGAAGGCGGCAUCCUGGACCGAGAUUGACGCUGAUGAGCGAAAGCUAGGGGAGCAAACGGG